Drosophila obscura is the source of this 462-nucleotide long non-coding RNA. RefSeq lists it as uncharacterized. Lineage: Eukaryota; Metazoa; Arthropoda; Insecta; Diptera; Drosophilidae. The record is from RefSeq and is a predicted model, not a curated record. The transcript has 3 exons.
GACAACGUUCGCCGGGUCAUACUAGCCAUAUGUCAGCAAUAAGAACGUAUAUUUUCUGUACAGUUCCCAUAGAGCACUAGUCCGGCAUAGUCAAAUGGUUUUUGGUGAGAAAUAACUUCCUAAAAAUGUCUGAAAAUAAGGAAAAUGCUGCCUUUGCUUGGCCACAACCGGAGGAAGCAGAAGAAGAAUUGAACGAGGCAGAAAGUACGUGCGUCAUAUGCCUCGAUUUCUUCACUGAGCCUUUGGUCAUUCUAAUGUGUGGGCACAUUUUUUGCGGUGAAUGCAUAAUUGUCUCCCUAUGCUACAGCAAUUUAUGCCCAAUUUGCCGUCAACAAGUCGCAUAAGUGAAACCAUUUUGUCAGCCUUAACUUGUUCAUAAAACUACGAAAAUUUAACUGGACACGCAAAUAUCCCAAUACAUGCAAGCGGAUAGCUAAAUAAAUAAUUAAAUAUGUAAUACAU